UAUACAAUUGAUGACAUCGCGACACUCUCCGAUGAUGCCCUACAAAAGCGUAGCAAGCGGGGCAAAGAGCCGCUGAAAAGAAAAAUGGCCACGACCGGUGUCUCCAAAGCGGUAUCAAAGAAAUCUAACACAACGGUUUUUCAGCUGCCGGGUAGUAGCGCACGUGUCAUCAGAACUGUUUCAUUCCCCGAACCACCAGAGUCGGUCACCAACGCCCGCGACAGUUGGCUGUCUGAAAAUCCUGCAAUGCCGAUUAUCCGCUGUCCUGAUGCCCGUAAGUUAAUAUUACACGGCGCUCUGUUUUAAUUAGAGCCGCUUGAUGUUCUUAAUACUUACAGCGGGCUGCUUGUCUUUAAAUUUUUAAUAAAAGGCAUAAUGACAUAUCUAUCUAUC
This is a long non-coding RNA of Bufo bufo (common toad), 393 nucleotides long. RefSeq lists it as uncharacterized. Lineage: Eukaryota; Metazoa; Chordata; Amphibia; Anura; Bufonidae. The transcript is spliced from 3 exons. The record is from RefSeq and is a predicted model, not a curated record.